This 1033-nucleotide long non-coding RNA is filed under the name Sus scrofa (pig). RNAcentral describes it as "lncRNA (ENSSSCG00030043438.1)". The record is from RNAcentral. Lineage: Eukaryota; Metazoa; Chordata; Mammalia; Artiodactyla; Suidae.
UUUUCUUGCUCCCCUUUUCAAAUGGACUUAGUAUAGGCUUUUAUUAUCAGAAAGUUCUCCAAGCACAUUUAAAAUGUUAUGCAAUUUGGAGUUCUCAUUGUGGCUCAGUGGUUAACGAACCCGACUAGCAUCCGUGAGGACGCCUGUUCUAUCCCUGGCCUCCCUUAGUGGGUUGAGGAUCUGGCAUUGCCAUGAGCUGUGGUGUAGGUCGCAGAUGCGGCUCAGAUCCUGCAUUGCUGUGGCUGUGGUGUGGGCUGGGUGGCUACAGCUCCAAUUUGACUCCUAGCCUGGGAACCUCCAUUUGCCAUGGGUGUGGCCCUAAAAGACAAAAAGACAAAAAAAAAUUUAUGCAAUUUACAAAAUAAAAUUAAUAUGUUUUUACCCUAAAUUAUGUAAAAAUUAUAUCUGUAAAAGACUGAAUAACUGCAACAAAUUAUGUCAACAGAGAAGGUUUUAUGGCAGUUAACAGGUAGCUUUAAAAAAGAUUGAUGAUUCAGUAGCAUUCCUAACUAUUAUUUUUGAAAGAGUUUUAGACAAUUUAACAAGCAUUUUCAAAGGUAAUUGUUACUGUUGUUAUUUUUAGAAACAUGGCAGUCUUAAGUACCAGUUUGUUCUGCUAUCUACGUAUUUGCCUAAUUUCUGCAAAUGAUGAUAUUUAUCUGUCCUCACAGGAGCUGUCCUUUGGCAGCCUGCUGGGAUUUCCUUCAAGAGGAGGAGAGGAAGGGAAACACUUGUCCAGGAUAAAGCCUAGCUCCCUAUAUAUCCGUUCCUCUAUGUGGAUGAAAUGUGAUGAUCCGCAGUCAACACCCUGCACAGCCAGCCUCUUCUCAGCAUCUGCCUUCAGAUAAACUAACCUGCAAUAGCUGACCUCACUGGUGUCAUUGAGCACAUCCAAAAUCAUUUUAAAUAUCUCUAGUGAAGAGUUUGAAUCCAGAUGCCCCCUGGUGGUUACGCCUUUAAUAUAGACUCUUCAAAUAUCUGUGGAAAUAACCAUGCAGACAUAACAAAGAAUAAAAAUGCACAACAUUGAUCA